ACAGACACACACAGCGGCGCCCGCAGACAAGAAAAAAGGCAAGAGAAGGAGAGGGCGAUGGAAAGGAGAAGGCCCCAUGCAACACCGACUUCCACUUACGUCUUCUUGCGUUUAUUCCCCACCCCACCCCCACUGGUUGGAACUCGGCGGCUGCAUCAGACGAACGCGCCAGUGGUGGUGCUUUAAACCACUCUCUGCGCUUGUUGGCUCUCCUCUCUUCCCUCCCUGUCCCACAUUUCUCCACGCACAAAAGCCUGCACGCGCAACGACGAGGGUACUCGAAUAUCGAAGCCUGCUAUUGAUGUCGCCUCACGGCAUGUGAGGCGAUGCACUGCAGCACGGGGGGCGCUGGCUCUGUGGGCUUCGCACUUCGCCAGCAGGAGUUGCAGCGGGCUAUCGAAGAGAAGCGGCUCGAGUUGAAGCAGCUGUACGAGCGGCAAUGCCAUGUGAGCGCCGCGAUGCUGUGCCAGGGCGACUUCGAGGACCCCCGAGUGAUGAGAGAUCGGCCCCAACUGCGCAUUCGAGGGUCACCUGCGGAAGCGCGGCCCCCACACCGUGCAGCAUCGCAGACGCCGCCGCCGGGUGACAGAGGACUAUCGGAGAGUGUCGCCUUCAUCAUUACAUCUGAACUGCGCCGUCUUCGUCCUCGAAUAAUGCCCCAGAACCCUGACAGCCGCACUGUCGUCUGGGGAGCACGAUCGAAACUCACUCAGAAUCGACCGUCUCCGUCGAAGGAGUUUGCGGUUCGUUUGUCUCGCCUGCACAAAGCCUCCGCACCGGGCGCGGCAACUGUGCCGGAGGCGGUAGCAGUGGCAGCUACUAAAGAACCGUUGAGUGACUCCCCGGAUGUUUCGCCGAUUGCGGCGGAGUGCCCCGCAGAUCAGGCUGAUGUUUCCGCUGCAUCGUAUUUGAGCAGCAAUUCUACUCUCUUCUGUGACCAUGGAGGGGUGAGCGGUCUCGGCCGUGGUGACGCCGAAGGUGCUCGCCACGUGCGGUUCUCGAGCCGAAGCCCGCAGGUUUCCACCUUCUCAGUGGAGCGAUCUUGCGUUCCGCUCCAGGAGGGAUUCGAUGCGAUGGCGGUGGCGGCCGCCGCAACGCCAGGGCCGUCAGCGAGUCAUGGGGAAAAACGGACACCUGGCCCAGAGCUUGACUUGAUUGAGAAGGCUUCUUCUGCGCCUCUCGACACCGCCGCCCAGCGGGUGCGCACUCUCGCGAUGAGUCCGUUUGUGUCUUCGCGGCAUUUCGCCGUUCUGUCACCACGAAACACUGUCUCUUGCUGCCUAACGCAGGUCGAGGAACUGCGCCACUCUUUGCUAGCGGCGCCGUCGAACGCCCGUUACAGUGGGCGCGGCUUCGACGAUGACACUCGCCCGCCAGCGCGGCGGGUUCAGGGUUUGAGGAUGCCGGUGCAGCCGUCGGUGAUGGACAAGCAGGCUGAGAGAGAGGGUGCCGCGACGCCUGCCAAGCGGUGGACGUUGGAGCGAACUCCUGACCUCGGCGAUUCUGUCGGUGCGGCCGCCGUCGACAUCAACUCCACCACGAUGUCCGGUGCACUUGGUCUGGCCGCGCCCGUCCCAAGUGGUGUGCCUGUAGCCCCCGUCAUGUGUGAAGCUUCUGAGUGCGCCACGGAGAACUCGCCGAUCUUUCUGCGCCGCCCCGAGCGGAGAGCUGGCCCGUCCACCCAAGAUUCCCAUGAGUCCCCGCUCUUAACGAACAUCACGAACCAGCCCCCCAAAUUGCCUGAACCACCGUCAAGGCUGCGGAUGUCACGUGAGGAGAGCGCCACCGCCGUCCACAAGCCGAAGAAGUGUGUACGCUUUCGUGAGUCUGUCGAGCGAUCUGACAAAGGCACCUCGGGGACCACAUGCAAGCGACGGCGUCCAGGUUGGCGGACCGCGCCUUCCUCCGCUUCUGCACCGGCUACUGCCGGUGCGCCAAUCGCGAUGCCGGCCGAAUUGUGUUGCGAGCAGGAGGGCUUUGGUGCUGGCAUCCUCCUAGCUUGCGGGCCGACACUCUAUUUUGAUUGAGAUACUCUAUCGGCAUUCAUGGGUUGGGGUAGUCCUGGUGGUAGUGCAGAAAGGACUGCUGCCACCGUGGUGAUAUCUCGUGCGCGAAGGACUCUGCUACGGUGCUGUCUGUUUGAAACUGCUAUGCAAACGAACUAACCA
RNAcentral lists this unclassified non-coding RNA (2168 nucleotides) under Leishmania donovani. Its description in RNAcentral is "gene:LdHU3.32.1610(CDS-product:hypothetical_prote in_conserved)". Lineage: Eukaryota; Euglenozoa; Kinetoplastea; Trypanosomatida; Trypanosomatidae. The record is from RNAcentral.